GAUGAACGCUGGCGGCGUGCUUAACACAUGCGAGUCGAACGAAGCACUUUAUUUGAUUUCCUUCGGGACUGAUUAUUUUGUGACUGAGUGGCGGACGGGUGAGUAACGCGUGGGUAACCUGCCUUGUACAGGGGGAUAACAGUUGGAAACGGCUGCUAAUACCGCAUAAGCGCACGGCAUCGCAUGAUGCAGUGUGAAAAACUCCGGUGGUAUAAGAUGGACCCGCGUUGGAUUAGCUAGUUGGUGAGGUAACGGCCCACCAAGGCGACGAUCCAUAGCCGACCUGAGAGGGUGACCGGCCACAUUGGGACUGAGACACGGCCCAAACUCCUACGGGAGGCAGCAGUGGGGAAUAUUGCACAAUGGGCGAAAGCCUGAUGCAGCGACGCCGCGUGAGCGAAGAAGUAUUUCGGUAUGUAAAGCUCUAUCAGCAGGGAAGAUAAUGACGGUACCUGACUAAGAAGCACCGGCUAAAUACGUG
Molecule: ribosomal RNA, 481 nt
Filed under: uncultured bacterium
Lineage: Bacteria
Description: partial 16S ribosomal RNA
Rfam family: Bacterial small subunit ribosomal RNA
Source: RNAcentral